This 74-nucleotide transfer RNA is filed under the name Actinomycetota bacterium. RNAcentral's name for it is "tRNA-Ile". It matches the Rfam family "tRNA". Rfam says of the family: Transfer RNA (tRNA) molecules are approximately 80 nucleotides in length. The record is from RNAcentral. Lineage: Bacteria; Bacillati; Actinomycetota.
GGGGCGGUAGCUCAGCUGGUUAGAGCAUGGGACUCAUAAUCCCUGGGUCGUCGGUUCGAGUCCGACCCGCCCUA